CGUGUCUGUAAGCAGCUCUUUAUUGAAAUGUGUCAACUCCAUACCAGAAUGAAUAAGGUCAGGAUAUUGAAUAUAAAUGAAACCUGCAGUUAUUCUGAAAGUUACAUCUUUAGUUCCUCUCCAUGAACUUCUAAUACUAUCACUAAGGAAAAGAAUUUGAUUUUACUCUUCAUUUCUUUGUCCUACUUCUAAGGUAACUGUUCUCAAGAUUUAACUAGUGUUGCUUUAUUUUCCUCCCUUUUGGGGAUAGAGGAGAUGUUGGGGACAACUUCUUACAAAUUUCUUAGUUCUGCCCCUUUCAACCUCUGAGAUGGCUUUUGCUGCCCUAGACACUUCAGCAAUUAAGCUAGAAUUGGAGCCAGUUGAGUUGUGUGUAGACAUUUGAACUUUCUCUUAUUUCCCUUAGAAACUCCUCAGCCUUCAGAUAGAUUGGAAAGAAAAUAAAUGCACAGAUUUCACAUGAGUUUUCAAAUGAUAGGAUUUCAGCUUUUUUCAAAGUUUUUGUUUGUUUUUUGGUGGGGAAUAAAGUAGACUGGGCUAGAAGCUUUAUUUUGUAAAGAUAACAAAAUAGCAUGUUAUUUUAUCAUGAGGCUUUUCAUUAUAAGUUUACUUUUUCAAUUGAGACAAGCUUUGAAUUUUAACAUAAUGGAAAAAAUUAAGAUCUGUGGUAAAUUUAAUCUGCGUUUGUAAGCACAUUUAUAGACAAAGAUUAAGUAUUGAAACAAAGUACCAGAAUAUUUUAAUACUAAUUAUUGUAGAAGUUUUCUUCGUUUGAGUCUACUGGGUUCUGUUUUACAUCAAAAGAAAACAUUGUGUCAUGUUAAUGUAUGAUAGCUACAAAAAAAAAAAAAAAAAAAAAAAAAAAAACUACACAAGGAUACCACCCUCAGUGCUGUGAAGAGAAAUCAUUGUCAGACUUUUCUUAAAAUAUAAAAAGUCCCCUGUUCAGGUUUAACUGAAUAUAAUAAGCCACUGGAGAAACGUUUAUAUUCUUGCUACUUUUUAAAAAGCAGUCAAUUAUUGUGUAGCAAGCAAACAUCUUUUUGAACAAUUUAUCUACAAAG
Molecule: long non-coding RNA, 1064 nt
Filed under: Marmota monax (woodchuck)
Lineage: Eukaryota; Metazoa; Chordata; Mammalia; Rodentia; Sciuridae
Source: RNAcentral